This 253-nucleotide ribosomal RNA is filed under the name uncultured bacterium. Its description in RNAcentral is "partial 16S ribosomal RNA". It matches the Rfam family "Bacterial small subunit ribosomal RNA", at positions 524 to 776 of the family's 1533-position model. The record is from RNAcentral.
UACGGGGGGGGCAAGCGUUGUUCGGAAUUACUGGGCGUAAAGGGCUUGUAGGUGGCCAACUAAGUCAGACGUGAAAUCCCUCGGCUUAACCGGGGAACUGCGUCUGAUACUGGAUGGCUUGAGUGUGGGAGAGGGAUGCGGAAUUCCAGGUGUAGCGGUGAAAUGCGUAGAGAUGUGGAGGAACACCAGUGGCGAAGGCGACUCUCUGGUCUGUAACUGACGCUGAGGCGCGAAAGCGUGGGGAGCAAACGGG